RNAcentral lists this long non-coding RNA (1344 nucleotides) under Gadus morhua (Atlantic cod). RNAcentral describes it as "lncRNA (ENSGMOG00000035143.1)". Lineage: Eukaryota; Metazoa; Chordata; Actinopteri; Gadiformes; Gadidae. The record is from RNAcentral.
AUGGAGAACAAUAUGAGGGAGGUCUGGGAUGGUGAGAAAAUCAUCACAGGCCACAAAGCUAAGAACAGUACAGAGGGGGGGACUGUGGAGAGGGCAAACCAGGUUAACAUCUUUUUCAACAGGUUUGACCAACCAUCCAGCCAAGGCACCAACAUAAUGGCACCCUCACUUUCACCACCGUCAUGCGAUCCCCCCUUCCCCUCACCACUGGACACCGCUCUCCACCCCUCUUACAAUCUCUCCUCAAACACCCCAGGGGACCCUCCUCCCUGCAUUAUUACUGCUGACCAGGUCAGAGGAGAACUGAGGAAGCUUCGCCCAAAGAAAGCAGCGGGCCCAGAUAAUGUGUGCUCACGCCUGUUGAAGACCUGCGCUGCUGAACUUGGGGAGCCGCUUCAGUACGUCUUCAACCUCAGUCUACAACUAGGGAGAGUGCCCACCCUCUGGAAGACAUCUUGCAUAGUUCCGGUUCAAAAGAAAACCCGACCUAGUGAGCUGAAUGACUUCCGACCGGUGGCACUCACAUCACAUCUGAUGAAGACCCUGGAGCGGCUCCUUCUCAGACACCUCAGGCCUAAGGUGCUGCACGCUCAGGAUCCACUACAGUUUGCCUACCGGACAGGGGUUGGUGUGGAGGAUGCCAUCCUGUAUCUCCUACACCGGGCCCACUCACAUCUGGACAAGGGGGCGGGCACAGUCAGGAUUCUUUUCCUAGACUUCUCUAGUGCCUUCAACACAAUCCAGCCCCUCAUACUACAAAACAAACUGUCAGCUAUGCAAGUUGACCCCCACCUGAUAACUUGGAUCACGAACUACCUCAUAGAUAGACCACAGUUUGUUCGAUUAAAGGACACCACAUCGGACAUCUUAAUCAGCAGCACUGGGGCGCCUCAGGGGACUGUGCUGGCCCCUCUUCUCUUCACCUUAUACACCUCAGACUUCAGCCAUAACUCUGAAUCGUGCCACAUUCAGAAGUAUGCUGACAACACAGCCAUCAUGGGGUGUAUAGGGGGGGACCAAGAGGAGGAGUACCGGACUCUAGUGAGAGACUUUGUCACCUGGAGCCAUGCAAACAGCCUGCAGCUCAACACAUCAAAAACCAAAGAGCUGGUGAUAGACUUUGGGAAGUCAAGGCCACGCCCCCAAGCAGUGGACAUCGAUGGAGUAGAGGUGAAAACCGUGGGCAGCUACAAGUACCUGGGAGUGUGGCUUGACAAAAAACUGGACUGGGCAAUCAACACCGACCACCUCUACAAGAAAGGCCAAAGCAGAAUGUAUUUUUUAAGGAGGCUGCGAUCUUUUAAUAUCUGUAGUAAACUUCUGUCAAUGUUCUACCAGGCUUGA